RNAcentral lists this long non-coding RNA (1137 nucleotides) under Homo sapiens (human). RNAcentral describes it as "HSALNT0027757". The record is from RNAcentral. Lineage: Eukaryota; Metazoa; Chordata; Mammalia; Primates; Hominidae.
GCAGUAUGAAAUGUAAAGUUAUAGAAGUUCUUAACUCACGAAUAAGGGUCACUCAGAUAACAUUAACUUACUUCCUUGUCAAUUUUUGGAUUUCCUUUGACUUUGUUCAAACUGAUUUUAGGUCUUCUUCCUCUCUGCAGGACAGUGAGCUGGACAACAUUGCUUCAUUAUUUCAGCUGCUUGUGAAGGAGGGGGGAGGGGCCAAGAUGGCCGAAUAGAAACAGCUCUGGUCUACAGCUCCCAGCGUGAGCAACUCAGAAGAUGGGUGAUUUCUGCAUUUGCAACUGAGGUACCGGGUUCAUCUCACUAGGGAGUGCCAGACAGUGGGCGCAGGUCACUGGGUGCGCGUACCGUGUGCGAGCCGAAGCAGGGCGAGGCAUUGCCUCACUUGGGAAGCACAAAGGGUCAGGGAGUUCCCUUUCUGAGUCAAAGAAAGGGGUGACGGAGGGCACCUGGAAAAUCGGGUCACUCCCACCCGAAUACUGCGCUUUUCCGACGGGCUUAAAAAACGGCGCACCACGAGAUUAUAUCCCGCACCUGGCACGGAGGGUCCUACGCCCACGGAGUCUUGCUGAUUGCUAGCACAGCAGUCUGAGAUCAAACUGCAAGGUGGCAGCGAGGCUGGGGGAGGGGCGCCCGCCAUCGCCCAGGCUUGAUUAGGUAAACAAAGCAGCCGGGAAGCUCCAACUGGGUGGAGCACACCACAGCUCAAGGAGGCCUGCCUCUGUAGGCUCCACCUCUGGGGGCAGGGCACAGACAAACAAAAAGACAGCAGUAACCUCUGCAGACUUAAAUGUCCCUGUCUGACAGCUUUGAAGAGAGCAGUGGUUCUCCCAGCACCCAGCUGGAGAUCUGAGAACGGGCAGACUGCCUCCUCAAGUGGGUCCCUGACCCCUGACCCCUGAGCAGCCUAACUGGGAGGCACCCCCCAGCAGGAGCACACUGACACCUCACACGGCAGGAUAUUCCAACAGACCUGCAGCUGAGGGUCCUGUCUGUUAGAAGGAAAACUAACUAACAGAAAGGACAUCCACACCAAAAGCCCACCUGUACAUCACCAUCAUCAAAGACCAAAAGUAGAUAAAACCACAAAGAUGGGGAAAAAACAGAACAGAAAAACUGGAAACUCUAAAAAGC